This 602-nucleotide long non-coding RNA is filed under the name Vigna radiata. RNAcentral's name for it is "long non-coding RNA (VRAD_LNC009679)". Lineage: Eukaryota; Viridiplantae; Streptophyta; Magnoliopsida; Fabales; Fabaceae. The record is from RNAcentral.
UAGUUUCUUAUUAUCUUAUUUAAUUUGAUUUUCUAUAUUCUUUUUGAAAAAAAAAAUAUAAAAAAAUAUAUAAAAAAAAGAAAACGAAAAUAGAGAAAAGAAAAGAAAACAAAAGAAAAAGAAAAAAAAAAGGGAAAAAAAAACGUGUAAGAUGAUGAGAGGGUAUGCUGGAUUGGAGGGAGAAAAAAAAAGGUGUGUGCGUGGAGGGGGCAGGAUUUGGUUUUGGGGGAUUGUUGGAAGAAAAACCGUUAGAGAAAGAUUUUGGUGGGCACGGAGAAGCAAAGGAGGGUGAGAGGUUUUGAAAAAGAUCACUGAGAGCUUGAGAGAAAAAAAAGGAGAGGAAAUUAUCUUGACUGGAGUGGACAAUCAUCAUCUUUGGUGCUUUUAUUUCCGAUCUUCAUCUUGAGGAACGAACAACCAUUUCAAGUUUACAAUCGUUGAUCCACGGGUACCAGAGACACCAGCGGCUAACGCUAGGAGCUCUAAGCGGUAAUUUUAUCCAUUUGUCUAUGCUAAAAGUUUGCUAUAUAGUAUUGCAUUUCUGAGUUCUGCUAUGAUAUUGUUGAAUAUGAUAUUAUGAGUACUAUGUCUUCUUCUCCGAC